UACGUAGGGUGCAAGCGUUAUUCGGAAUUACUGGGCGUAAAGCGCGCGUAGGCGGUUUUGUAAGUCUGUCGUGAAAUCCCCGGGCUCAACCUGGGAAUUGCGAUGGAGACUGCAAGGCUAGAAUCUGGCAGAGGGGGGUAGAAUUCCACGUGUAGCAGUGAAAUGCGUAGAGAUGUGGAGGAACACCGCUCGCGAAGGCAGCCCCCUGGGUCAAGAUUGACGCUCAUGCACGAAAGCGUGGGGAGCAAACAGG
This 253-nucleotide ribosomal RNA is filed under the name uncultured bacterium. RNAcentral's name for it is "partial 16S ribosomal RNA". It matches the Rfam family "Bacterial small subunit ribosomal RNA", at positions 524 to 776 of the family's 1533-position model. The record is from RNAcentral.